CCUACGGGAGGCAGCAGUGGGGAAUAUUGGGCAAUGGGCGCAAGCCUGACCCAGCAACGCCGCGUGAAGGAAGAAGGCUUUCGGGUUGUAAACUUCUUUUCUCAGGGACGAAGCAAGUGACGGUACCUGAGGAAUAAGCCACGGCUAACUACGUGCCAGCAGCCGCGGUAAUACGUAGGUGGCAAGCGUUAUCCGGAUUUACUGGGUGUAAAGGGCGUGUAGGCGGGAAAGCAAGUCAGCUGUGAAAACCAUGGGCUCAACCUGUGGCCUGCAUUUGAAACUGUUUUUCUUGAGUACUGGAGAGGCAGACGGAAUUCCUAGUGUAGCGGUGAAAUGCGUAGAGAUUAGGAGGAAGACCAGUGGCGAAGGCGGUCUGCUGGACAGCAACUGACGCUGAGGCGCGAAAGCGUGGGGAGCAAACAGGAUUAGAUACCCGAGUAGUC
RNAcentral lists this ribosomal RNA (443 nucleotides) under uncultured bacterium. RNAcentral describes it as "partial 16S ribosomal RNA". It matches the Rfam family "Bacterial small subunit ribosomal RNA", at positions 338 to 795 of the family's 1533-position model. The record is from RNAcentral.